GACGAACGCUGGCGGCGUGCUUAACACAUGCAAGUCGAACGGAAAGGCCCUGCUUUUGUGGGGUGCUCGGGUGGCGAACGGGUGAGUAACACGUGAGUAACCUGCCCUUGACUUUGGGAUAACUUCUGGAAACUGGGGCUAAUACCGGAUAGGAGCUCCUGCUGCAUGGUGGGGGUUGGAAAGUUUCGGCGGUUGGGGAUGGACUCGCGGCUUAUCAGCUUGUUGGUGGGGUAGUGGCUUACCAAGGCUUUGACGGGUAGCCGGCCUGAGAGGGUGACCGGCCACAUUGGGACUGAGAUACGGCCCAGACUCCUACGGGAGGCAGCAGUGGGGAAUAUUGCACAAUGGGCGGAAGCCUGAUGCAGCAACGCCGCGUGCGGGAUGACGGCCUUCGGGUUGUAAACCGCUUUCGCCUGUGACGAAGCGUGAGUGACGGUAAUGGGUAAAGAAGCACCGGCUAACUACGUG
This 468-nucleotide ribosomal RNA is filed under the name uncultured bacterium. RNAcentral describes it as "partial 16S ribosomal RNA". It matches the Rfam family "Bacterial small subunit ribosomal RNA", at positions 28 to 507 of the family's 1533-position model. The record is from RNAcentral.